UGCCCCUGUAGCCCAAUUGGUAAGAGGCGCUUCGCUUAAAACGAGGAGGAUGUUGAUUCAAAUUCAACCAGGGGUAU
This 77-nucleotide transfer RNA is filed under the name Calothrix sp. NIES-4105. RNAcentral's name for it is "tRNA-Leu". It matches the Rfam family "tRNA". Rfam says of the family: Transfer RNA (tRNA) molecules are approximately 80 nucleotides in length. Their secondary structure includes four short double-helical elements and three loops (D, anti-codon, and T loops). RNAcentral also lists the same sequence under 1 other name. Lineage: Bacteria; Bacillati; Cyanobacteriota; Cyanophyceae; Nostocales; Calotrichaceae. The record is from RNAcentral.